UACGAAGGGGGCUAGCGUUGUUCGGAUUUACUGGGCGUAAAGCGUGCGCAGGCGGUGAUGUAAGACAGAUGUGAAAUCCCCGGGCUCAACCUGGGAACUGCAUUUGUGACUGCAUCGCUGGAGUGCGGCAGAGGGGGAUGGAAUUCCGCGUGUAGCAGUGAAAUGCGUAGAUAUGCGGAGGAACACCGAUGGCGAAGGCAAUCCCCUGGGCCUGCACUGACGCUCAUGCACGAAAGCGUGGGGAGCAAACAGG
RNAcentral lists this ribosomal RNA (253 nucleotides) under uncultured bacterium. RNAcentral describes it as "partial 16S ribosomal RNA". It matches the Rfam family "Bacterial small subunit ribosomal RNA", at positions 524 to 776 of the family's 1533-position model. The record is from RNAcentral.